GCCUGGGUAGCUCAAUUGGUAGAGCAUCAGACUUUUAAUCUGAGGGUUCAGGGUUCAAGUCCCUGCUCAGGCG
Molecule: transfer RNA, 73 nt
Filed under: Ochotona princeps (American pika)
Lineage: Eukaryota; Metazoa; Chordata; Mammalia; Lagomorpha; Ochotonidae
Also listed under: 1 other name
Description: tRNA-Lys (TTT) (tRNA-Lys-TTT-4-1)
Rfam family: tRNA
About the family: Transfer RNA (tRNA) molecules are approximately 80 nucleotides in length. Their secondary structure includes four short double-helical elements and three loops (D, anti-codon, and T loops).
Source: RNAcentral